UACGUAGGGGGCAAGCGUUAUCCGGAUUUACUGGGUGUAAAGGGAGCGUAGACGGUCUGGCAAGUCUGAAGUGAAAGCCCGGGGCUCAACCCCGGGACUGCUUUGGAAACUGUCAGACUAGAGUGCAGGAGAGGUAAGCGGAAUUCCUAGUGUAGCGGUGAAAUGCGUAGAUAUUAGGAGGAACACCAGUGGCGAAGGCGGCUUACUGGACUGUAACUGACGUUGAGGCUCGAAAGCGUGGGGAGCAAACAGG
This 253-nucleotide non-coding RNA is filed under the name uncultured bacterium. RNAcentral describes it as "partial 16S ribosomal RNA". It matches the Rfam family "Bacterial small subunit ribosomal RNA", at positions 524 to 776 of the family's 1533-position model. The record is from RNAcentral. RNAcentral also lists the same sequence under 1 other name.